This is a long non-coding RNA of Chinchilla lanigera (long-tailed chinchilla), 2248 nucleotides long. RefSeq lists it as uncharacterized. The transcript is spliced from 2 exons. The record is from RefSeq and is a predicted model, not a curated record. NCBI's taxonomy places the organism in Eukaryota, Metazoa, Chordata, Mammalia, Rodentia, Chinchillidae.
GGCGGCGGCCCCGACCCUGCGCCCCGCCCCGGCCGCCCCUCUCGGGGCGAGAGCUGACUCGGUGCCCGGCGCCGAAACUGGGCCGCUGCCAAAGCGGCGGGAGGUCGGGGUCCGGCGCGCAAUUUGAGGCCAGGGACAGCGCUGCAGAGGCUUUUGGAGCGGCCCGCGCUGAGUGCAGCCAGGCCACACGGUGCCAGCGCAAGGGCCGCCCCUCCUCUGGGAACGAAAUGUGUGCUAUGCCGGCCCCCCUGGCUGUCCUCACGCCGCGCCUGCCACCGUGCUAUUUGUGGCGAGGAGGGCGCGCUGGGAGGACCUAGCCCGGGAAGGAAACUUCAAGCACGCGUCCCAGUUACGCAGGGGAGCUGCAGCCCAGGCCUUACUUGGCCCUUUUACAGCUUGUGUUCAACUCUCCUUGCUAAAUAACCCUGUAACUGUGGCGAACCUUGCCCCACCCUCCAGACACCCACAUAGCCUUCCCUCUUGCCCACUGACAAGCCCAACUUUGAUUGCUCGGCUAGCAGCGUCUGAAGUUUGCAUUGCGUUUCAGAGUUUGCAGAAAUCCGUGGGUGGUGGCAGGUGCCGUGUGCUGCUGAGCUAUAUCCCCAGCCCACCUUUCCACAUUUGGUGACCUUGAGGAUGUUCUGAGCGGCUGCGAGGUAAUUAUUGUUCUGCUCACAGUACAAUAAGGAAACAGGCCCGGAGAGCCAGGCCUGAGCACCGAGCCACUGCUGCAUGCCAUUGUCUGCCAGCACAGCCGGAGUAGGAACCCAGGACAUCCCAGGAGAGCAGGGGCCUGGAAGGGGCAGUCUGCAGUGACAGGGUCCUGCCACUCCAUGCAGGCAGCAGAUUAGAUGCCAGAAGCAGGCAUUUGCAGGUGGCACUGUGCAGAGAGCUUGUGACGCUGCCUGCUGGCCCAGCCCCUGACUGUGGUGCUCUGCCUUGGAUCUGGGGUCCAACUAUGCCCUUGAACCAUCCACAGGCUCCACGGGUCACUGGUUGCCCUCCGCUGAGCCUUCUGGUGAGUUGGAGUUUGUGUCCUGGGUGUCAUCCGCCAGGCAGUGUCCUCUGAGCACCUGGAAGCAUGCCCCAGUCAGGUGGUGCAAGUCCACGGGGCAGGGGUAGGUUUUAUUUGCUGACGGCAAACGGAGCUGCUGGUGACUUGAGACCGGAUCCUACAUGAUGAACAGGCCGUGGGCACAUGCCUGGCUGCUGCUCCAGGGCUGACAUCAAAACCUCGCUGAUCCAGGGGACAAAGUAUUUUUCCAUGAAGGCAGGAGGCUGACAGCAGCAUGGAAAGGCUGCUGGCUCUACCUUCAUUGUGUGGGUGGAGAAACCAAGGCUGGGGGUGAUGACCACUCUCAGUCAGUCUCCGGGAGGUUGUGGGAACCUCUCAGGGUGCAAACCCACUCUGCCCAGGGACCCGAGCCACAACCUGGGGCAGAGGCCACCUGCUGGCUCCAUACUUCGGCCAUCCCAGCCCUGGCACUCCCAGGGGGGUGGCAGGAGCAGGAUCCACAUCUCUGGCAGGAGAGAGGAGCCAGGCUGCAGGGGAGGGGAGAAUGGGGCAAAAUGGGCAGGGGUGAGUCGGUGGCCAGACUGCCAAGGCCAGGGCAGUGUGUCUCCAUCCAGACAGGAAAUAAUAAAGGUACUCAUCGGGCAGCGGCUGGCCCUGGAGUGGCCACGGGCAAAGCCAUGUGCUCAGUGUGUGUCGGCGGGAUCUGCAGCUUCUCCAGAUCCUGCUGCCACCUUGGACGCGCUGUCCUUUCAAUGAUUAACCUGCCUUGGCCAAAGUUUGUAGGUGCUUUGCUCCUCGUGGGCCCAGCAUCUGUCCUCGUGGUUCUCGGCAGGCCACAGCGGCCUGCUACCCUCCCUGAGACAGAGGCCUCCCUGUGUCCCUUGUGCCUCUGUCCCCACUUGGCUCCAGGUGUGGAGGCUGCGUCAUCAUCGGUGUCUUCUAUCCAGUCCCACGCACAUCUGGAGCUCCGGGCCCAGCGUCAUCUGCCAGCAGCCAUGGGAGUCUCGCUGCCAAGCACGAUGUUCCAAUGGAUUCUGUCCCUAAAGAGGCUCCGGCUUGCACGGAGAGGACCCAGGCGGGGGCCUGGCCAGGUGGGGGCCGGCGAUGUGCAGCAGCUGUGGUCCCCAAGCACAUGGGACAGAGCCCCCUCCGUCCCACGGAUGCUCUCCGUGUGGUUUCACUUACCCGUGGUUAAUUGCAGUCUGAAACUAUUAAAUGGAAAACUCUAAACGA